RNAcentral lists this non-coding RNA (78 nucleotides) under Helianthus annuus (common sunflower). Lineage: Eukaryota; Viridiplantae; Streptophyta; Magnoliopsida; Asterales; Asteraceae. The record is from RNAcentral.
GUGAGCCGCAUGCGGGGAGACCCGCACGUACAGUUUUUUGGGGGAUAUGGUUGAAAGACCGGCCAGCGCCCACCCGAC